Molecule: long non-coding RNA, 829 nt
Filed under: Zea mays
Lineage: Eukaryota; Viridiplantae; Streptophyta; Magnoliopsida; Poales; Poaceae
Description: long non-coding RNA (ZMAY_LNC001793)
Source: RNAcentral
ACCACCGCUAAAAAAUGGAUCCAUUUACAAGAUUGAUAGAACCAUAGAGGGUAAAAAACUUGGGUGUAUUCCAUGGUUGGUAGGUAUUAGAGAUGGCAAUGGGUACCCGCGACCCAAUACCCGAUGGGUAUUUACUCCAUUAGGGUAUGUAUGUGAGCUAAAUAUUCUACCCGUGGGUCUGUUAUUGGACAAAAAUCUUCACCCAAUGGGUAAACGGGUAUUAGAACGUUCCGCCUUCACCCAUACCCGUUAACCCGUGGGUAUAAAAUACCCAAUAUAAACUUAUCCGAAGCAUGAACUUGGACUUUAGUCAUCCAACUUUUUUACUAUUUAACAACAAUUUAAUGACCAUGUAAUGGAACAUGUAAUGUACUAUGUAGUACUAUCAUAGUGUUACUACUUUAUCCAAUUAUCUUUGGUGUGUUGAAUGGAUGGUUAAAUGAUGCUAGAAAUUUUUGUAAUGAUAUUUAUAUGGAUAUACUUGUCAUUUGUAUAAUAUAAUUUUUUGAUAGUUGUUUAAUUUUUGUGGGUACGGGUGACCCGAUGGGUGACCUAUACCCACAUGGGUAUGGGUAUGGGGGUAAAUCCAUACCCGCAAGUGUAUAUGGGUGAUCCGGUGGAGUUAUUUUUGUGUCGUGAGUAUGGGUAUGGGGUAGUAAUACCCGAUGGGUAUUUACCCAUUGCUAGUAGGUAUAGGUACAAGCAUAUCCAACAUUCUAGUUAUACAGAGAUCAACACUGAUCGGCAAGAGUUCACUGCAGCUACGGUGCAAGUGCAAGAGCAACGAGCAAUAUAGUAAUGGUUAAAGAACGGCAGUACUGACUUGCAC